UGCAAGUCGAACGAAGUAGCAAUACUUAGUGGCAGACGGGUGAGUGACAUGUAGGUAUCUGCCCUUUGGCCUGGAAUAACACGAGGAAACUUGUGCUAAUACCGGAUAAGUCUUCACGGAGAAAGCUUUAUGCACUAAUGGAUGAGCCUGCACUUGAUUAGUUUGUUGGUGGGGUAAUGGCCUACCAAGACUUUGAUCAAUAGCUGAUUUGAGAGGAUGAUCAGCCACAUUGGGACUGAGACACGGCCCAAACUCCUACGGGAGGCAGCAGUGGGGAAUCUUGCACAAUGGAGGAAACUCUGAUGCAGCGAUGCCGCGUGAGUGAAGAAGGCCCUUGGGUUGUAAAGCUCUUUCGUCGGGGAAGAAAAUGACUGUACCCGAAUAAGAAGGUCCGGCUAACUUCGUGCCAGCAGCCGCGGUAAUACGAAGGGACCUAGCGUAGUUCGGAAUUACUGGGCUUAAAGAGUUCGUAGGUGGUUGAAAAAGUUGGUGGUGAAAUCCCAGAGCUUAACUCUGGAACUGCCAUCAAAACUUUUCAGCUAGAGUAUGAUAGAGGAAAGCAGAAUUUCUAGUGUAGAGGUGAAAUUCGUAGAUAUUAGAAAGAAUACCAAUUGCGAAGACAGCUUUCUGGAUCAUUACUGACACUGAGGAACGAAAGCAUGGGUAGCGAAGANGAUUAGAUACCCUCGUAGUCCAUGCCGUAAACGAUGUGUGUUAGACGUUGGAAAUUUAUUUUCAGUGUCGCAGCAAAAGCGAUAAACACACCGCCNGGGGAGUACGACCGCANGGUUAAAACUCAAAUGAANUNGACGGGGACCNGCACANGUANUGGANCAUGUGGUUUAANUUCGA
Molecule: ribosomal RNA, 852 nt
Filed under: uncultured bacterium
Lineage: Bacteria
Description: bacterial SSU rRNA
Rfam family: Bacterial small subunit ribosomal RNA
Source: RNAcentral